GAUGAACGCUGGCGGCGUGCCUAAUACAUGCAAGUCGAGCGACCAGACAAGGAGCUUGCUCCUCUGACGUUAGCGACUGACGGGUGGGUAACCCAUGGAUAACCUACCUAUAAGACUUGGAUAACUUCGGGAACCCGGAGCUACUACCGGAUAAUAUAUUGUACCGCAUGAUUCACUAGUUCUUGACAGUUUUGCUGUCUCUUAUAGAUGAUUCCGCGCCGCAUUAGCUAGUUGGUAAGGUAACGGCUUACCAAGGCAACGAUGCGUAGCCGACCUGAGAGGGUGAUCAGCCACACUGGAACUGAGACACGGUCCAGACUCCUACGGGAGGCAGCAGUAGGGAAUCUUCCGCAAUGGGCGAAAGCUUGACGGAGCAACGCCGCGUGAGUGAUGAAGGUCUUCGGAUCGUAAAACUCUGUUAUUAGGAAAGAAAAAAUGUGGAAGAAAACAUGCAUGUCCUGACGGUACCCAAUGAGAAAGCCACGGCUAACUACGUG
Molecule: ribosomal RNA, 497 nt
Filed under: uncultured bacterium
Lineage: Bacteria
Description: partial 16S ribosomal RNA
Rfam family: Bacterial small subunit ribosomal RNA
Source: RNAcentral